Molecule: ribosomal RNA, 301 nt
Filed under: uncultured bacterium
Lineage: Bacteria
Description: partial 16S ribosomal RNA
Rfam family: Bacterial small subunit ribosomal RNA
Source: RNAcentral
CAGCAGCCGCGGGAAUACGAAGGGUGCAAGCGUUAAUCGGAAUUACUGGGCGUAAAGCGUGCGUAGGCGGUGAGUUAAGUCUGCUGUGAAAUCCCCGGGCUCAACCUGGGAAUGGCAGUGGAUACUGGCUCGCUAGAGUGUGUCAGAGGAUGGUGGAAUUCCCGGUGUAGCGGUGAAAUGCGUAGAGAUCGGGAGGAACAUCAGUGGCGAAGGCGGCCAUCUGGGACAACACUGACGCUGAGGCACGAAAGCGUGGGGAGCAAACAGAAUUAGAUACCCCGGUAGUCCCUGUCUCUUAUAC